GGGGCGUUAGCUCAGUUGGUUAGAGCAGAGGACUCAUAAUCCUUUGGUCGAGUGUUCAAGUCACUCACGCCCUA
Transfer RNA from Rhodoferax saidenbachensis, 74 nucleotides. It matches the Rfam family "tRNA". From Rfam's summary of the family: Transfer RNA (tRNA) molecules are approximately 80 nucleotides in length. Their secondary structure includes four short double-helical elements and three loops (D, anti-codon, and T loops). NCBI's taxonomy places the organism in Bacteria, Pseudomonadati, Pseudomonadota, Betaproteobacteria, Burkholderiales, Comamonadaceae. The record is from Rfam.